CUCAACUCAUCUUCAAAAUUUUACACCCCAAAACUUAUUUUCCAUCCCUUAUCAAUAACCCUAACCGUACCCCUCCUUACCAUUCAACAUCUUCUCUCUAGUAGCAGUUUCAUCAGCAACUCUAUGUGACGAAAAGUACUCUUAUAUAUGUACGAGGGUUGAGAAAUUGAGGUCUGGUCUCAGCGUUCGUAAGGUUUUUAUAGGGGAUUAGAUGCCUCUUUACCGUAUUGCUGGAGAGGUCAACGCUGAUAGCGGCGAUGAUGGAGGAGCAGUUGAUUUGGUAUCGAUUGUCGCUGAACAAAGGGAAUUUGAUUAUUUUGUGUUGGCUGUCAAGGGCGGAACUAAUGAUUUUCUACAGAUCUUAGAAGAAACAAUAAAUGGUGGAUCAUCCACACCAACAAUGGCUGGUGCUGUCAAGAAAUAGAAAAUAUUGACUCCGGGAAGUCAAAGGUGACAUUCAACAGGUAGUUCGAGGCAAAUUGCGGCAGUCACAUUUUAUUUUGUUAAGCAAACUAGCUGUAGAAAACUAAAAUUCAUACAAAUCAGUCAUAGACAACUGUAGCAUAUGCAAGUCAGAAAAGGCUAUUUAUUUCAUUCCAUCUAUUUAUCAAGGUAUGAUGGAAUCUCGUUAAACGAGUAUCUUUACGGAUUUUCUCUUUUUAACUGCAAUACCUACAUAGUUUGUAGGAUCGCGUUCUGACCCGAAUGAGUCG
Molecule: long non-coding RNA, 713 nt
Organism: Helianthus annuus (common sunflower)
Lineage: Eukaryota; Viridiplantae; Streptophyta; Magnoliopsida; Asterales; Asteraceae
Exons: 3
Source: RefSeq, a predicted model, not a curated record